CUCAUUAAACUUUUUUAAUGGGUCUCAAAAUUCUGUGACAAAUUUUUGGUCAAGUUGUUUCCAUUAAAAAGUACUGAUUUUAAAAACUAAUAACUUAAAACUGCCACAUGCAAAAAAGAAAACCAAAGUGGUCCACAAAACAUUCUCCUUUCCUUCUGAAGGUUUUACGAUGCAUUGUUAUCAUUAACCAGUCUUUUACUACUAAACUUAAAUGGCCAAUUGAAACAAACAGUUCUGAGACCGUUCUUCCACCACUGAUUAAGAGUGGGGUGGCAGGUAUUAGGGAUAAUAUUCAUUUAGCCAUCUGAGCUUUCUGGGCAGAGUUGGUGACCUUGCCAGCUCCAGCAGCCUUCUUGUCCACUGCUUUGAUGACACCCACCGCAACUGUGUGUCUCAUAUCACGAACAGCAAAGCGACCCAAAGGUGGAUAGUCUGAGAAGCUCUCAGCACACAUGGGCUUGCCAGGAACCAUAUCAACAAUGGCAGCAUCACCGGACUUCAAGAAUUUAGGGCCAUCUUCCAGCUUUUUACCAGAACGGCGAUCAAUCUUUUCCUUCAGCUCAGCAAACUUGCAUGCAAUAUGAGCCGUGUGGCAAUCCAAUACAGGGGCAUAGCCAGCGCUUAUUUGGCCUGGAUGGUUCAGGAUAAUCACCUGAGCAGUGAAGCCAGCUGCUUCCAUUGGUGGGUCAUUUUUGCUGUCACCAGCAACGUUGCCACGACGAACAUCCUUGACAGACACAUUCUUGACAUGGAAGCCCACACUGUCCCCAGGAAGAGCUUCACCCAAAGCUUCAUGGUGCAUUUCGACAGAUUUUACUUCUGUUGUAACGUUGACUGGAGCAAAGGUGACCACCAUACCGGGUUUGAGAAUACCAGUCUCCACUCGGCCAACAGGAACACUACCAAUACCACCAAUUUUGUAGACAUCCUGGAGAGGCAGGCGCAAGGGCUUGUCAGUUGGACGAGUUGGUGGUAGGAUGCAGUCCAGAGCCUCAAGCAGCAUGGUUCCACUGGCAUUGCCAUCCUUACGGGUGACUUUCCAUCCCUUGAACCAAGGCAUGUUAGCACUUGGCUCCAGCAUGUUGUUACCAUUCCAACCAGAAAUUGGCACAAAUGCUACUGUGUCGGGGUUGUAGCCAAUUUUCUUAAUGUAAGUGCUGACUUCCUUAACAAUUUCCUCAUAUCUCUUCUGGCUGUAGGGUGGCUCAGUGGAAUCCAUUUUGUUAACACCAACAAUUAGUUGUUUCACACCCAGUGUGUAAGCCAGAAGGGCAUGCUCUCGGGUCUGCCCAUUCUUAGAGAUACCAGCUUCAAAUUCACCAACACCAGCAGCAACAAUCGGGACAGCACAGUCAGCCUGAGAUGUCCCUGUAAUCAUGUUUUUGAUGAAGUCUCUGUGUCCUGGAGCAUCAGUGAUAGUCACAUAGUACUUGCUGGUCUCAAAUUUCCACAAGGAGAUAUCAAUGGUGAUACCACGUUCACGCUCAGCUUUCAGUUUAUCCAAUGGUUCUUUUGUCGAUGCUACUGCAUUUAUAGAUCAGAUGGCCAGUAGUGGUGGACUUGCCCGAAUCUACGUGUCCAAUGACGACAAUGUUGAUAUGAGUCUUUUCCUUUCCCAUUUUGGCUUUUAGGGGUAGUUUUCAUGACACCUGUGUUCUGGCGGCAAACCCGUUGCG
RNAcentral lists this long non-coding RNA (1676 nucleotides) under Homo sapiens (human). Its description in RNAcentral is "non-protein coding lnc-OTULIN-1:1". The record is from RNAcentral. Lineage: Eukaryota; Metazoa; Chordata; Mammalia; Primates; Hominidae.